Molecule: transfer RNA, 73 nt
Filed under: Camelus bactrianus (Bactrian camel)
Lineage: Eukaryota; Metazoa; Chordata; Mammalia; Artiodactyla; Camelidae
Also listed under: 2 other names
Rfam family: tRNA
About the family: Transfer RNA (tRNA) molecules are approximately 80 nucleotides in length. Their secondary structure includes four short double-helical elements and three loops (D, anti-codon, and T loops). Further hydrogen bonds mediate the characteristic L-shaped molecular structure. tRNAs have two regions of fundamental functional importance: the anti-codon, which is responsible for specific mRNA codon recognition, and the 3' end, to which the tRNAs corresponding amino acid is attached (by aminoacyl-tRNA synthetases). tRNAs cope with the degeneracy of the genetic code in two manners: having more than one tRNA (with a specific anti-codon) for a particular amino acid; and 'wobble' base-pairing, i.e. permitting non-standard base-pairing at the 3rd anti-codon position.
Source: Rfam by way of RNAcentral
GAGGGUACAGCUCAAGUGGUAGAGUGCAUGCUUAGCAUGCAUGAGGUCCUGGGAUCAAUCCCCAGUACUUCCA